This 2266-nucleotide long non-coding RNA is filed under the name Aquilegia coerulea. Its description in RNAcentral is "long non-coding RNA (ACOE_LNC001032)". The record is from RNAcentral. Lineage: Eukaryota; Viridiplantae; Streptophyta; Magnoliopsida; Ranunculales; Ranunculaceae.
ACAACUAUCUUCUUCCCCUUCAAAUUCACUUGCCACACCCUCAAUUAAUGAUAUAGGUUCCAUCUUCGUCUUCUCCAUCAGCAAAUCUUAGGUCUAAGGUUUUCUCGUUCUCAUAAUUCUCACUCCUCUCAAACCUUAGCUAGGGUUUCAUCUGCAAUUCAAUGUUAAUCACUUAGUUAGGUUGAUAAUUCCUCACUCCUCUCUAUACUCCAUUAUUUAUUAUCUUCUUCAUUCUUUUUGUUGUUAUCUCUUCACAGAUGAAUGGGGUUUCAGUUUCCAGCCACACAAAUUGCUCAACUCUUCACAAAUAAUUAGUGUGUUAUCUCUUCACAGAUAAUUGGGGUUAAUAAUAAGAACAAAUUGUUGAAUCUCUUACAGGUUAUUAUUCUCUCCCCUAACUAUAAUAUUCAAUUCAAUUUAUUGUGUGAAAAUUCUUAAAAAUUUUGUUGAAAAAACAGAUCUGACAGACCUUAUCAGACUGUUUUCUUGUUUUACACUUAGUCCCACAUGAGUUGUGGGAAGUGGGUAAAGAUGUUCAAAUACAAAAUUAUUACACUAAGGGUGUAGCCCUUUGGGUUAUCAAGUUUUCGCGCGAUAGCGCAAGGCUAUACACUUAGUUGUACACCACAACAGACGAUAGUCGUGUCUGUUGUGAACAGGCACGACUUACUCUAUAAAUUGAGUUUUGCUCUGGCCAGGCACACGAUUUAUUCAGACUAAGUCUGCUUCUCUCUCUCUCCAUAGAAAUUCGAAGUGUUCUUCUUGUUUGUUCGCCAGUAUUCUGCUAUUACAGUGCAAUCUAGCAGUUGUAUCUUGGGAGACUAUCGUCCAAUAUCCGUGUGCACCAGUAGCAGGGACGUAAUAUUGUCUUAAGGAUAUUGCUUCGGCAAGCCUUUGUUCAUCUCCUUAAUCAAUCAAGUUGUGUAGUAAGUGUUACUGUAUUCAUGAAUUCAUUUAAUAUAUUAUUAUUUGUUUACGGUUUGAAUUAGUAUAUUCUUUAUUUCUGUAAUUCGUGUAUGUUAUAUUCCUGAGUUCAUACAAUAUAAUCCCAACAAAUUUCAUAUCAUCAUUCCAAAAUCUCAGAUGGCAAAUUUUGUUUCAUUGAAACCCUAGUUUUUCAAAUACUGGAUUAAAUACUUAAAGACAUGUAGGUAUAAAUAUCAUGAAUGAACUAAGUUAUUUUUAAUAUUCAAUUCAGUUUAUUUGUUUUUUUUUUCUUUUGUUAGAUUGUGUACUUGAGUUCUGAUAAUUGGGCUUUCAUUGAUAAUUGGAUCUCACUAAUAAUUCUUUUUUCUUUAAGUUCAAUAAAGUUUAUGUCCUUAGUUAAAUGUUAGAAUGUGAUUGUUUACUGGGAACAAAUUAAUUAUAUAGGCCUAGAAUUGGAAGCCUACUUGUCUUGUAACAGAUUUUUGUCCUAGGCAUCUCUACUUCUAUUUUUGCAAAAUAAAUGCAAGAAGAUGAAUGUGUAUCUUCUACAUGAUGCAUUCAAGAGUACACACUACAGAAACAUGAAAGCAGUGUUGCAGAACACCACGACACUGUUGUGGAAUGACUUGACAAAACUGAACUGUAGGACUCCUGUUUUGUACUGGUGUACGUUGGGGUGAUAUUAGAAUUUGUUUACAAACAUUUUCUAUUUCUUUUCAAGCUCCUGCUACGAUAAAGUUUUAUAUAUUUUUCUCUUUGGAUAAUAGCUUUUGUUAAGUGUGCAUUUCUCUUGCUCCCAUUCGUUCCUGAAUUCUUUUGAACUUCUUGCUGCUCUGUAGGUCACAGUUGGCUCUUUUGUUUGAAUUCCUCAAUUUCUUGGAUAGGUGAUCAAAAAUAGUAACCAGUUUUGCGCCUUUGCUUUGGCGCAUUACUUUCUAAGUAAGAUUUUCUAUGCUAAGUACUAUAGUUUAACAUUUGGACUUAAAUAUUUUUUUUUUUUUGUUCUAGCUUAAAUAGUUAUUUAGAUCUUAUAAUCAGCCAUAUUACAAUUGAUUCUAUAUUUGGCCGUAUUAUUUUGUAUGUUGGGACAGUGGAUUGCUAUCACUUAUUUAUAUUUUUUUAGGAGGCAUAUAGUCUACUUUUUUGGUGUAAUAUGUAAUGCUCAUGGUAAAUAUGAAUGGAUAUUUUUAGUUGGCGCAUAACAACUUAUUAGUUCUUGAAUGAUGUUGGGAGGGAUUUUCUUAAAUUGAAGCUCCACAAGGAGACACUACACCGGAAAUGCUUGAGAGCAGUGGCUCAUGCAUUCUAAAAUCUAAACCAACUGGAAUCGGGAUAUCUG